RNAcentral lists this ribosomal RNA (1343 nucleotides) under uncultured bacterium. RNAcentral describes it as "16S ribosomal RNA". It matches the Rfam family "Bacterial small subunit ribosomal RNA", at positions 28 to 1378 of the family's 1533-position model. The record is from RNAcentral.
GACGAACGCUGGCGGCGUGCUUAACACAUGCAAGUCGAACGGAAAGGCCCUGCUUUUGUGGGGUGCUCGAGUGGCGAACGGGUGAGUAACACGUGAGUAACCUGCCCUUGACUUUGGGAUAACUUCAGGAAACUGGGGCUAAUACCGGAUAGGAGCUCCUGCUGCAUGGUGGGGGUUGGAAAGUUUCGGCGGUUGGGGAUGGACUCGCGGCUUAUCAGCUUGUUGGUGGGGUAGUGGCUUACCAAGGCUUUGACGGGUAGCCGGCCUGAGAGGGUGACCGGCCACAUUGGGACUGAGAUACGGCCCAGACUCCUACGGGAGGCAGCAGUGGGGAAUAUUGCACAAUGGGCGGAAGCCUGAUGCAGCAACGCCGCGUGCGGGAUGACGGCCUUCGGGUUGUAAACCGCUUUCGCCUGUGACGAAGCGUGAGUGACGGUAAUGGGUAAAGAAGCACCGGCUAACUACGUGCCAGCAGCCGCGGUGAUACGUAGGGUGCGAGCGUUGUCCGGAUUUAUUGGGCGUAAAGGGCUCGUAGGUGGUUGAUCGCGUCGGAAGUGUAAUCUUGGGGCUUAACCCUGAGCGUGCUUUCGAUACGGGUUGACUUGAGGAAGGUAGGGGAGAAUGGAAUUCCUGGUGGAGCGGUGGAAUGCGCAGAUAUCAGGAGGAACACCAGUGGCGAAGGCGGUUCUCUGGGCCUUUCCUGACGCUGAGGAGCGAAAGCGUGGGGAGCGAACAGGCUUAGAUACCCUGGUAGUCCACGCUGUAAACGGUGGGUACUAGGUGUGGGGUCCACUCCACGGGUUCCGUGCCGUAGCUAACGCUUUAAGUACCCCGCCUGGGGAGUACGGCCGCAAGGCUAAAACUCAAAGGAAUUGACGGGGCCCCGCACAAGCGGCGGAGCAUGCGGAUUAAUUCGAUGCAACGCGUAGAACCUUACCUGGGUUUGACAUGGAUCGGGAGUGCUCAGAGAUGGGUGUGCCUCUUUUGGGGUCGGUUCACAGGUGGUGCAUGGCUGUCGUCAGCUCGUGUCGUGAGAUGUUGGGUUAAGUCCCGCAACGAGCGCAACCCUUGUUCACUGUUGCCAGCACGUUAUGGUGGGGACUCAGUGGAGACCGCCGGGGUCAACUCGGAGGAAGGUGGGGAUGACGUCAAGUCAUCAUGCCCCUUAUGUCCAGGGCUUCACGCAUGCUACAAUGGCUGGUACAGAGAGUGGCGAGCCUGUGAGGGUGAGCGAAUCUCGGAAAGCCGGUCUCAGUUCGGAUUGGGGUCUGCAACUCGACCUCAUGAAGUCGGAGUCGCUAGUAAUCGCAGAUCAGUAACGCUGCGGUGAAUACGUUCCCGGG